RNAcentral lists this ribosomal RNA (915 nucleotides) under uncultured marine group I thaumarchaeote. RNAcentral's name for it is "SSU rRNA". It matches the Rfam family "Archaeal small subunit ribosomal RNA", at positions 1 to 923 of the family's 1478-position model. The record is from RNAcentral. Lineage: Archaea; Thermoproteati; Nitrososphaerota.
UUCUGGUUGAUCCUGCCGGACCUGACUGCUAUCGGAUUGAUACUAAGCCAUGCGAGUCUUUGUAGUAAUACAAGGCAUACGGCUCAGUAACACGUAGUCAACUUACCUUAUGGACGAGGAUAAUCUCGGGAAACUGAGGAUAAUACUCGAUAGACCAUCACUCCUGGAAUGGUUGGUGGUUGAAAUGAUUCGUCGCCAUAGGAUGGGACUGCGGCCUAUCAGCUUGUUGGCGAGGUAAUGGCUCACCAAGGCGAUUACAGGUACGGGCUCUGAGAGGAGAAGCCUGGAGAUGGGUACUGAGACACUGACCCAGGCCCUAUGGGGCGCAGCAGGCGAGAAAACUUUGCAAUGUGCGAAAGCACGACAAGGUUAAUCCGAGUGAUUUCUGCUAAAGAAAUCUUUUGCUAGUUCUAAAAAUACUAGUGAAUAAGGGGUGGGCAAGUUCUGGUGUCAGCCGCCGCGGUAAAACCAGCACCUCAAGUGGUCAGGAGGAUUAUUGGGCCUAAAGCAUCCGUAGCCGGCUCUUCAAGUUUUCGGUUAAAUCUAUACGCUUAACGUAUAGGCUGCCAAAAAUACUGUAGAGCUAGGGAGUGGGAGAGGUAGACGGUACUCGGUAGGAAGGGGUAAAAUCUUUUGAUCUAUUGAUGACCACCUGUGGCGAAGGCGGUCUACCAGAACAUGUUCGACGGUGAGGGAUGAAAGCUGGGGGAGCAAACCGGAUUAGAUACCCGGGUAGUCCCAGCUGUAAACGAUGCAGACUCGAUGAUGUAUUAGCAUAUAGCUGGUACAGUGUCGCAGGGAAGCCGUUAAGUCUGCCGCCUGGGAAGUACGUACGCAAGUAUGAAACUUAAAGGAAUUGGCGGGGGAGCACCACAAGGGGUGAAGCCUGCGGUUCAAUUGGACUCAACGCCGGAA